CUACGGGCCGCAGCAGUGGGGAAUAUUGCACAAUGGAGGAAACUCUGAUGCAGCAACGCCGCGUGGAGGAUGACACUUUUCGGAGCGUAAACUCCUUUUAUAUAGGAAGAAGAUGACGGUACUAUAUGAAUAAGCGCCGGCUAACUCCGUGCCAGCAGCCGCGGUAAUACGGAGGGCGCGAGCGUUACUCGGAAUCACUGGGCGUAAAGAGCGUGUAGGCGGAUUAAAAAGUCAGAAGUGAAAUCCUAUAGCUUAACUAUAGAACUGCUUCUGAAACUCUUAAUCUAGUAUAUGGGAGAGGUAGAUGGAAUUUCUGGUGUAGGGGUAAAAUCCGUAGAGAUCAGAAGGAAUACCGAUUGCGAAGGCGAUCUACUAGAACAUUAUUGACGCUGAGACGCGAAAGCGUGGGGAGCAAACAGGAUUAGAUACCCUAGUAGUC
Molecule: ribosomal RNA, 439 nt
Filed under: uncultured bacterium
Lineage: Bacteria
Description: partial 16S ribosomal RNA
Rfam family: Bacterial small subunit ribosomal RNA
Source: RNAcentral